AGUGAACGCUGGCGGUAGGCCUAACACAUGCAAGUCGAACGGCAGCACAGUAAGAGCUUGCUCUUACGGGUGGCGAGUGGCGGACGGGUGAGGAAUACAUCGGAAUCUACUUUUUCGUGGGGGAUAACGUAGGGAAACUUACGCUAAUACCGCAUACGACCUACGGGUGAAAGCAGGGGAUUUUCGGACCUUGCGCGAUUGAAUGGGCCGAUGUCGGAUUAGCUAGUUGGCGGGGUAAAGGCCCACCAAGGCGACGGUCCGUAGCUGGUCUGAGAGGAUGAUCAGCCAGACUGGAACUGAGACACGGUCCAGACUCCUACGGGAGGCAGCAGUGGGGAAUAUUGGACAAUGGGCGCAAGCCUGAUCCAGCCAUACCGCGUGAGUGAAGAAGGCCUUCGGGUUGUAAAGCCCUUUUGUUGGGAAAGAAAAGCAGCACGUUAAUACCCCGCUGUUCUGACGGUACCCAAAGAAUAAGCACCGGCUAACUUCGUG
RNAcentral lists this ribosomal RNA (492 nucleotides) under uncultured bacterium. RNAcentral's name for it is "partial 16S ribosomal RNA". It matches the Rfam family "Bacterial small subunit ribosomal RNA", at positions 29 to 507 of the family's 1533-position model. The record is from RNAcentral.